GACACCACUCGCCCACCGUCCCCCUCUGCCCCCUCCCGUCAAAGGGGGGCGUGUGUCGGGUGCCGGCUCGGGCGGACUCUGCGUGUUCCGGAGACUCAACCGUCCCCGAGUGCACCGAAUCUCGUGAACGAAACUUCUACUGCCUUGCUGCACAGAGCUGUUGACGGCGCUCGCUUCGGCGGCGACUCUCGGCUCGACAAAACGUGCCUCAAGCGUCAGGUUGGAAGUGUCUUUGUCCGGUCACGGUUCCGCGCCAAAGUUUCUCUCCGGAGGACGGACGGCCGGCCUCACCCUACUUUCG
Molecule: unclassified non-coding RNA, 301 nt
Filed under: Akkesiphycus lubricus
Lineage: Eukaryota; Phaeophyceae; Laminariales; Akkesiphycaceae
Description: Akkesiphycus lubricum miscellaneous RNA
Source: RNAcentral